RNAcentral lists this ribosomal RNA (540 nucleotides) under uncultured bacterium. RNAcentral describes it as "bacterial SSU rRNA". It matches the Rfam family "Bacterial small subunit ribosomal RNA", at positions 355 to 896 of the family's 1533-position model. The record is from RNAcentral.
UAGGGAAUAUUGGACAAUGGGUGUAAGCCUGAUCCAGCCAUGCCGCGUGCAGGAAGAAGGCCUUCUGGGUUGUAAACUGCUUUUGCCGGGGGAUAAAAGAUCCAUGCGUGGAGAAUUGAAGGUACCCGGUGAAUAAGCCACGGCUAACUACGUGCCAGCAGCCGCGGUAAUACGUAGGUGGCAAGCGUUGUCCGGAUUUAUUGGGUUUAAAGGGUGCGUAGGCGGCCUUGUAAGUCAGUGGUGAAAUACUCCAGCUUAACUGGAGGGGUGCCAUUGAUACUGCAGGGCUUGAGUUAAGUUGAAGUUGGCGGAAUUGACGGUGUAGCGGUGAAAUGCUUAGAUAUCGUCAAGAACACCGAUAGUGAAGACAGCUAACUAAACUUUUACUGACGCUGAGGCACGAAAGUGUGGGGAUCAAACAGGAUUAGAUACCCUGGUAGUCCACACUGUAAACGUUGAAGACUCGCUGUGUGCGAUAUACAGUACGCGGCUUAGAGAAAUCGUUAAGUCUUCCACCUGGGGAGUACGCCGGCAACGGUG